This 434-nucleotide ribosomal RNA is filed under the name uncultured bacterium. RNAcentral's name for it is "partial 16S ribosomal RNA". It matches the Rfam family "Bacterial small subunit ribosomal RNA", at positions 29 to 507 of the family's 1533-position model. The record is from RNAcentral.
AGCGAACGCUGGCGGCAGGCCUAACACAUGCAAGUCGAACGAACCUUUCGGGGUUAGUGGCGGACGGGUGAGUAACACGUGGGAACGUGCCUUUAGGUUCGGAAUAACUCAGGGAAACUUGUGCUAAUACCGAAUGUGCCCUUCGGGGGAAAGAUUAAUCGCCUUUAGAGCGGCCCGCGUCUGAUUAGCUAGUUGGUUGAGGUAAUGGCUCACCAAGGCGACGAUCAGUAGCUGGUCUGAGAGGAUGAUCAGCCACAUUGGGACUGAGACACGGCCCAAACUCCUACGGGAGGCAGCAGUGGGGAAUCUUGCGCAAUGGGCGAAAGCCUGACGCAGCCAUGCCGGGUGAAUGAUGAAGGUCUUAGGAUUGUAAAAUUCUUUCACCGGGGACGAUAAUGACGGUACCCGGAGAAGAAGCCCCGGCUAACUACGUG